RNAcentral lists this ribosomal RNA (57 nucleotides) under Exserohilum rostratum. Its description in RNAcentral is "partial 28S ribosomal RNA". Lineage: Eukaryota; Fungi; Ascomycota; Dothideomycetes; Pleosporales; Pleosporaceae. The record is from RNAcentral. RNAcentral also lists the same sequence under 2 other names.
UUUUGACCUCGGAUCAGGUAGGGAUACCCGCUGAACUUAAGCAUAUCAAUAAGCGGA